ACAAGCGGUGGAGCAUGUGGUUUAAUUCGAAGCUACGCGAAGAACCUUACCAGGUCUUGACAUCUUCUGACAGUCUAAGAGAUUAGAGGUUCCCUUCGGGGACAGAAUGACAGGUGGUGCAUGGUUGUCGUCAGCUCGUGUCGUGAGAUGUUGGGUUAAGUCCCGCAACGAGCGCAACCCUUAUUACUAGUUGCCAGCAUUAAGUUGGGCACUCUAGUGAGACUGCCGGUGACAAACCGGAGGAAGGUGGGGACGACGUCAAAUCAUCAUGCCCCUUAUGACCUGGGCUACACACGUGCUACAAUGGAUGGUACAACGAGUCGCGAGACCGCGAGGUUAAGCUAAUCUCUUAAAACCAUUCUCAGUUCGGACUGUAGGCUGCAACUCGCCUACACGAAGUCGGAAUCGCUAGUAAUCG
RNAcentral lists this ribosomal RNA (418 nucleotides) under Pediococcus pentosaceus. RNAcentral describes it as "bacterial SSU rRNA". It matches the Rfam family "Bacterial small subunit ribosomal RNA", at positions 925 to 1344 of the family's 1533-position model. Lineage: Bacteria; Bacillati; Bacillota; Bacilli; Lactobacillales; Lactobacillaceae. The record is from RNAcentral.